AGUGAACGCUGGCGGUAGGCCUAACACAUGCAAGUCGAACGGCAGCACAGUAAGAGCUUGCUCUUACGGGUGGCGAGUGGCGGACGGGUGAGGAAUACAUCGGAAUCUACUUUUUCGUGGGGGAUAACGUAGGGAAACUUACGCUAAUACCGCAUACGACCUACGGGUGAAAGCAGGGGAUCUUCGGACCUUGCGCGAUUGAAUGAGCCGAUGUCGGAUUAGCUAGUUGGUGGGGUAAAGGCCCACCAAGGCGACGAUCCGUAGCUGGUCUGAGAGGAUGAUCAGCCACACUGGAACUGAGACACGGUCCAGACUCCUACGGGAGGCAGCAGUGGGGAAUAUUGGACAAUGGGCGCAAGCCUGAUCCAGCCAUACCGCGUGGGUGAAGAAGGCCGUCGGGUUGUAAAGCCCUUUUGUUGGGAAAGAAAAGCAGCAGGUUAAUACCCCGCUGUUCUGACGGUACCCAAAGAAUAAGCACCGGCUAACUUCGUG
Molecule: ribosomal RNA, 492 nt
Filed under: uncultured bacterium
Lineage: Bacteria
Description: partial 16S ribosomal RNA
Rfam family: Bacterial small subunit ribosomal RNA
Source: RNAcentral